This 240-nucleotide unclassified non-coding RNA is filed under the name soil metagenome. RNAcentral's name for it is "partial contains 5.8S ribosomal RNA, internal transcribed spacer 2, and large subunit ribosomal RNA". The record is from RNAcentral.
AACACUGUUAACCUGCGGUACCUGCGGAGGGAUCAUUACUGAGUCACGUGCUCAAACAACCCUUCUGUGGACCUGAAAUAAAACCGUUGCCUCGGCGGGCGGUCCCCCCCAAACCAACCCCACGUGGUGGGUUAGGGGAGACCAGACAGUCCGGUACGCUUAAGGCGUCCGGCGCCAGCCGCUGGCCCCAAACAAUCAAACUCUAGUAAUCCUUACCUUCUGAGUUUCAAUAUUUAAAAA